Molecule: ribosomal RNA, 123 nt
Filed under: Morganella psychrotolerans
Lineage: Bacteria; Pseudomonadati; Pseudomonadota; Gammaproteobacteria; Enterobacterales; Morganellaceae
Description: partial 23S ribosomal RNA
Rfam family: Bacterial large subunit ribosomal RNA
Source: RNAcentral
GGGUUGUGAGGUUAAGCGAAUAAGCGUACACGGUGGAUGCCUAGGCAGUCAGAGGCGAUGAAGGACGUGCUAAUCUGCGAUAAGCGUCGGUAAGGUGAUAUGAACCGUUAUAGCCGACGAUUU